UUUUCAGUUUCUGCCUUUGUUAAAAUCAAAGUGUAGUAUCUUUUCUGACCAGCUUAAUAUCUGAUGCAGUCCUUUGUUGGGGGCCAUCAAUAUUAAACUGAUUUGUAGAACUAGGCAAAGAGUUAGGGGCUUGCUCCAUCUGCUCUGCAGGUUGGCCUGGUAUUGCAGCACCUCCAGGAUACAACUCAUGGUUC
Octopus sinensis (East Asian common octopus) is the source of this 194-nucleotide small nuclear RNA. RefSeq annotates it as U2 spliceosomal RNA. The transcript has a single exon. The record is from RefSeq and is a predicted model, not a curated record. NCBI's taxonomy places the organism in Eukaryota, Metazoa, Mollusca, Cephalopoda, Octopoda, Octopodidae.